GAGUAGCUCAGCAGCACAGCAUCUGUUUGGCAUGCAAAAGGUCCCAGGUUCAAUCCCUGGCAUCUCCA
RNAcentral lists this transfer RNA (68 nucleotides) under Sphaerodactylus townsendi. RNAcentral describes it as "tRNA-Ala". It matches the Rfam family "tRNA". Rfam says of the family: Transfer RNA (tRNA) molecules are approximately 80 nucleotides in length. Their secondary structure includes four short double-helical elements and three loops (D, anti-codon, and T loops). Further hydrogen bonds mediate the characteristic L-shaped molecular structure. tRNAs have two regions of fundamental functional importance: the anti-codon, which is responsible for specific mRNA codon recognition, and the 3' end, to which the tRNAs corresponding amino acid is attached (by aminoacyl-tRNA synthetases). tRNAs cope with the degeneracy of the genetic code in two manners: having more than one tRNA (with a specific anti-codon) for a particular amino acid; and 'wobble' base-pairing, i.e. permitting non-standard base-pairing at the 3rd anti-codon position. Lineage: Eukaryota; Metazoa; Chordata; Lepidosauria; Squamata; Sphaerodactylidae. The record is from RNAcentral.